UACGUAGGUGGCGAGCGUUAUCCGGAUUUACUGGGCGUAAAGAGCGCGCAGGCGGUCGUUCAAGUCGAGUGUGAAAGCCCCCGGCUCAACUGGGGAGGGUCAUUCGAUACUGGUACGUCACUCGAAGGCAGGAGAGGGAAGUGGAAUUCCCGGUGUAGUGGUGAAAUGCGUAGAUAUCGGGAGGAACACCAGUGGCGAAGGCGACUUCCUGGCCUGUUCUUGACGCUGAGGCGCGAAAGCUAGGGGAGCAAACGGG
This 256-nucleotide ribosomal RNA is filed under the name uncultured bacterium. RNAcentral describes it as "partial 16S ribosomal RNA". It matches the Rfam family "Bacterial small subunit ribosomal RNA", at positions 524 to 776 of the family's 1533-position model. The record is from RNAcentral.